Molecule: ribosomal RNA, 460 nt
Filed under: Candidatus Regiella insecticola
Lineage: Bacteria; Pseudomonadati; Pseudomonadota; Gammaproteobacteria; Enterobacterales; Enterobacteriaceae
Description: partial 23S ribosomal RNA
Rfam family: Eukaryotic large subunit ribosomal RNA
Source: RNAcentral
AUCACUGCCCACUGAAUUGAUUCGAACGACCUCGGGCUGUACGGGACUACCCGGUGGAUUUAAGCAUAUCGAUAAGCGGAGGAAAAGAAACUAACGAGGAUUCCCCCAGUAGCGGCGAGCGAAGAGGGAAGAGCCCAGCACCGAAUCCCCGGAGCCGAGUGCUUCGUCGAGGAAAUGUGGUGUUCGAGUGGUCCCGCUUAUCCUGGGUGUUGGCCGGUGCGUUCAAGUCCACCUUGAAAGGGGCCAUGGCCCAGAGAGGGUGCCAGGCCCGUAGAGACCGCUGCGCCCGCCCAGGAGGGUACCACUCUAGAGUCGGGUUGCUUGGAAAUGCAGCCCUAAGCAGGUGGUAAACUCCAUCUAAGGCUAAAUACGACCACGAGACCGAUAGCGAACAAGUACCGUGAGGUAAAGUUGAAAAGAACUUUGAAGAGAGAGUUCAACGAGUACGUGAAACCGUUCG